RNAcentral lists this long non-coding RNA (1882 nucleotides) under Ooceraea biroi (clonal raider ant). RNAcentral's name for it is "uncharacterized LOC105277819". Lineage: Eukaryota; Metazoa; Arthropoda; Insecta; Hymenoptera; Formicidae. The record is from RNAcentral.
UUAUGUCCCACCGAAUUUCGCCGGUGUUUGACGUAUCCUGUAAGGCGCUCACGACAGUCUCUGCCUUUCAUCCGCUCGCGCGUCAUUAUUUAAACUUCUCGGCGAAGACGGGAAGUGGCGGCACGCGAAGUGAAGAAUUGGAGAAACCGAGAAAAGGCAUUAGCACUCGUCGAUGCGGCUUGUAUUGCGUCCAAGUCGCGACGUUAACGCUUUGCCGUCAAUUUGUUUCGCGUGUGUCGAAGAAACGUUUGAACAUCCUGCGGACCACCCGAGACGAGAGAUAUUCUUUAGCGAAUUUUAUCACGCAUUGUGGCAAUAGAAAAUCGGUGAGGUGUAACCUUUCAUGCGUAUUUACCGAUAUAUUUAUAAUUAUUUAUAUUUAUUUAAAGGUAGCAAAUGUUUUAAAUUUUACAUAUUAGAGAAUUUUGUUCAGUUUAUUAUUCUACAUAUUCGCUUGCAUUUACUUAUAAACGUUUUGAAAGAUUGCCUCUGUUUUUAAAGGAAUCUGAGACAAGUAAGAUUUUUUGCAAUCUUCGGCGCCGAGAAAGAAUCUCUGUUUCCCUUUCUCGGAGACAAAUCCUUGCAGUGGCGGCUCGACGUUCCGGAAGCAAUCUCGUUUGACAGCUCACUGUCGCCUUCGCGCGACAAUUCGAUAUGUACACACACGUACAGACCGCGUUAUACGGAGCAUAUCAAACCUCGCAGAAAUUGAAUCAGCGGCGGUCGGAGGAAUCCGUAAACGGAAACGUGAACGCGAAUCAACGGUGCACUCGGUGCUUCUCUCGCCGGCGCGCGACGCUUCGUUGCUAAAGAUAAUAUCGUUCCGUACGACAAAUUGGCACGUAUCGUGGCGUAAAGAGGUGCCCGCCCGUCUGCAUUACGUAUAUAUUUUGAAAAUUUCGGCAGACAUGUAUUUUCAGAUAAUCAAAUAGCGCUUUCAAUAAAUUCCUACGUAUAAAAUUAUACGUUAAAAUUACAUAAAUUGUCAUUUAACACAUAUUAAAAGAAAAUUAGGUAUUCAUUUAAACUAUGUUUCCUCGCAAAUCUGCGGAUAAAUUAAAUUGAAUUGGAUUAUCUGAAUAAAUUUAAAUGCAUUCAAUGUCAUGCAUUAAAUGACAUAUCAAAAGAGAAGACUCGUAUAGAAUUAAAUGUUAAACAUCAUCAAAUAUUAAUAUGUAAUGUUACAUACAAGUAAAAGUACGUUUAUAAUGAUAUCUCACCACAUACGAAAAAUCUGUAUACUGUAAGCGUAUUAUUAUUCCUUGAUCGAACAUAACUGUUUCUUCAGCUGAAUAAUUUCGAUAUUAGUUUUAUUCUUGAAAUCUACUAAAUUAAUACGAUAAUCGAUUCUGUGUCCCACUGACAGUCAGGUGUGAGAUAUAAACGAUUCUGAAUGUCAGAACACCUUGUAUAUUAAUAGCCUCGCUUGUGCACGCUGUGUCAAAUUGGAGGGAGACUAAUGUAAAGUGCAUCGCGCCCAGGGAAGAGAAAUGAUCGAAGGGGCCAGUAUCCGAAAGGCGAUUUAAAGGCACUCUUGAAUGCCGCCCGCGUUCACGCAUAUGUGCACGACGCUUUUUUCACCGAUAAAUAAUUUUAGUCUGGGCGUUACCAGAUCCCGCUGAUUUCUCGAGAAGCUACCUCGAGGGAGCGAAAUGGAUACUCGGAUAAAGCUAACGAAGAUGAUCGUACGAAAUAUGAUGGCGAUUCGUCGAGGAUUGAGAAAAACAGCGAGCAUUUAGUGAAGAGGAAGGGUUAGAACAAGAAGCGGCAGAAGAAGAACGUGAAUAGAAAACAGCAGCAGCUUUGGCAUAAUCAAUAUCUGCUCAUGUUUUAAAUAUUCAAAUAAUAAAAAACUAACAUUCAAUAAAAUUUAGAUAAACGA